GGGCAGAGCGCGGUGAAUCCCUCCCGCCGCGCGGCCCGCGGCGGAGCUCCGAAACUUUCCCCGGAGCCAACUUCGCGGCGCCCGGCGCUCGCAGGUGUCGCGGGGCCGCGGGCGCAGGAACUUUCCAGGAACCGCAUCAUGUGACAGCACCCGCUCCGAGCCGCACCGCUCCCGGGCCGCGCCGCUCCGCCGCACCUCCGCGCAACCCCCUCGCCGCCGCACGGACCGCCGCCCCGCGCCGCCCCGCACGGACGGCGCCGGAGCCUCGAGGCCGCCGCCGCCGCAGAACAUAAUCUUGAAUUUACAGAAGUCCGUGGCAAAAUCUGGUUGUGAAUGGGGGCUUUGUUCUGCGAGACUAUUUCUGAAGACUCCUGGCUCUCUGUCUGCCUUUGUGUACAAGGCUGACACACGGGCCCAUCCACCCGCGCUGUGCCCAGCAGCACACCCUCUCUUUCCAGCUGCCCUCUUGCAGGGAUGCACACAGCUCUCCGGUGGGUGGGCUGUAUCCCAUCACCGUGGCAAACCUGUGGGGCUGUGAUAGUUUAUAAAACCUGACAGCAUGGUCCAUUGCAUGUACUUUUUCUAAAUCCAUAUUUUUCCAAUUUUUUUUUUUUUCCUGUAGUGGCAAGUUUUUUUUCUGUCCAUCUGGGAGCAGAAUCCUGUGCUCAGCGUAUGUAAAUAACAGCUGUUUCCACUCAAUUGCAUUUAUGUACUUAACACUUCAAAAUAGACUUUUUUCUAGAAGUUUCACAAUCUAGUCACCAUCCGUGCUUAGACUGAGGUACUGGGGGAGAGAUUAAUGAAACCCCUCCGGAGUGGCUGACAAAAGUAUACAGCUGUAGCUCUGGAAUCCCUGCACAGGAUGGAUCGCUGAUGCUGACGGCCGUGCUUCAAUGCACUGUGAAGGCAACUUCACUCCUUAGGCACCCUCAGCUCUGGCUUCUGGGGCUGCUGAGGGGGUAGCAGGAUGCCAGGUGAGGAGAGGAGCUGUUCUGAACUGGUAGUGCCUUCCUAGCAAAGUUAAUUUGUCAUGCAGAGCAGCUGAACAGGGGAAACAAUGGCAAGUUAUUUACAGGGAAAAGCUCAUCCGCCAGUGUCGCAGAUUUUUGAAUGCAUUAACCUAUUGCAUUCUGAGAAGAAAGGCAGCUCUUUAAUGCUCUGGUAUGUCUUUUGUUGUAAUGCCACUAGCUCUGAAAUGAAAAUACAGCCUUUUGGUUUUAAAAUGCCUCGAUGAAGACUUCAAGAAAUUAAUGUCCAAUUAUUUUUUUUUUGUCCAGAAGCCUCAUUAUUUUCUCAAAUGCCUCAACCUGAGCUAUUUCAUUAGAGUUUUGGAUCCUCUGAAGGCUGAGGAUUACAGAACAUUGAUAUUUAGUUACCCAUUCAUUCAAUUUACUGCAAUGCAGGCCGCUGAAAGAGUUGUUUGUUCCUAAAUCCAGGCUGUUUUUUAUGUCACUGUCUUUUUUAUUUUGCUUAUCCAGAAGAAAAAUACUUUGAUGUUUACUGCUGUCUCAACUGGAACACCUGUGAACCGGGCAGGACCAUGCUGAGGACUCAAGCUGUGAGGAGAGAGCAAUAACGGUGUGGGAGCUGUUGCUCUCACACAUUCCGAUGUGCCUGUGCCAGAGUGUUUAUAGCAGAAGCAAAGAGGACCUGAGCUCGGGUUGUCUGUGAGAACAGCCACCUGCUCCCACAGGGCAUGUCUGUAUUUCUGGAUAAGAACAUUCCUGAUGCCAGGAGGACCGGCUUACAGCCUUGCCAACAUGGUUCCCCCUAGGGCUCCUCCUGCUUUCCCACCCCGCAGUGCUCCCCAGACUCUGGUGCCCUGCGGGUCCAAUGUGGAAUGAUGCCUUUUUGUGUCUCUUUCAGUUCAGAGUGCCUGAAAUGAGGUGAGACCGCUCUGCAGCCUCCAAGAAUGGUGCUUCCCUAGUGUGAAUGGGAGGUACAUGUGUGUUUUGGAGCAUGCUAAUGUCUGAGGGUGUGCGGCCAUCUUGGGUUGCUCUGGGCAGAGGCACAACAAGGCCCGGCCUCUGGCGCAGGCCCUGCACUGCUAGGGGGGCCAGCUGGGAGAGGGCUGAGGGGAACAUGGUGAGGCAGUGUGGGCGCUCAGCAGCCCCAAGCUUGAGCUUGGUGACCAGGCUCAGAGGGGUCAGCCCGUCGGCCUGCUGAUGGGCCCAGCUGGCCGGGCACAACCAGCACUCUGCAGGUGGUGUGCUUCACUCUUAGGAAAGCACAGGGAUUCUCAGGGGUCAUUUCCUCAUGUCACAAGUUAAAGCCUGAGCAGUGUUGAAGCAAAACAGUCAGAAGUUUGAGGGCCAGGACCAGCCAAGCAGCGUGGGGGUACUCACCACUGUUGCCUGCCUCAGGGUUGCCCACACCCUCCCUCCUUCACAGGCUGUGCCCCAGCCACGGUCACCGUGUCACCUUUCAGCCACACCAGUGGCUUCAUUGGGCUCAUUUCAAGUCUUUUUCUUCUUAAACAAUAUACAAUAUAAUAUAAUAAUAUACAAUAUAAACAAUACAGCUGUAUAAAGUCAAUGAAUUGUAACCCACAUGGUCAAUGUGACACAUGGAGUGUUUGUUGCAGUAGGUUUGAACAUACAAAUACACACUCUAGAAAGAGAAGUGUUAGGCCAUUUUUCUUAUUCUCCCUGUUAUGGCGAACACUUGGCACUGUGUGUGCCCUCCUUCUCAAUCAGAAAUCCUUUCUCUUAAUCAGUUCCUAAAAUCCAUAGAACUCGUUGCCAUCCUUGGUUUCUCCAUCACUAAAUACAAGAUUUUAACUGCAUAAAAAAUGGGAUGGGAGCGAGGCAGUUUGACAAAGAUGUAAGGUACUCAUGGAAAACAACAAGCGAAUCCUGACCUAAAAGUGGGGACGUGGUUUAGUGAUGCAAUAUUGGUGGUAGCGGGAUGGUUGGACUGGAUGGUCUGGGAGGUCUUUUCCGACCUUGGUGAUUCUAUGACUCUAAGUCAGGAUUAAAAAAUACAGAAUAACCAAAAAAUUAAGAGGGAAUGUGAACUUUUAGAUUACCAUAAACUAAUGUAAACAAACAGUUAGACCUUUUUCCCUGGAAUUACUUUAUUGACUGGAAGCCUCAGAGCACCUUAACGAAAGCAGAAGCAGAGAGAAAGUCCGCAGCACAGCCAUUUUGUUAUUUGUCGUGUUCGUCUUCUGUAGCUACCUGGAGGUAACAGAUAGAACCAUGGGCUCAUCAGAAGAGGGACUACAGAGAUGCAUAAAAUAAGCAACUCUUGUUUAUUUGGAAUAAAUAAAAUGAAAGAAAAAAAAUUAAGAGCUUCGCUACUAACUUUUAAUAUUUUUAGUAUUUAGAUAAUUAAACAAAAGGAGGUGAGAGAUUAAAAUCCUAUGCACAGUCGUUAAGCAUGUGCAUUACUGCAUACAGAGAACAAAAACCAGGAAGUUAGAAAGCUGUUGCAGUGAAGGCAAAACACAUUGCUUCAUUUGCUCAGCAAGAGAAAACUGCUUAGUCUUUAAAAUAUUUUGCUGACUUUCUCAUCUCCUCAUUCAGGACUUCUGUAUAUGGACUACAUGCUACUAAAGGUUAGCAGGAACAGCAAAAAAAAAAGGUUUCACCUUUAAGCAGAGUACUUCUGUAUUUCUGUCUCUGCUCUCAAACUGUUGCCCUACCCUCCCAACUCAACCAACCAAAAAAUAAUUCCCAAACACAAUAAAACUACUUUUAUUUGCUAUGAUAUGGGCAUCUAAAUCUCCACCGCCCUUCAAAGAAGAGAGAGAAGCACCUCCAGAAAACAACGUGUGGCUUAUUCUAGGUAUUUUUUUUUUAAAUGGGAUUUACUGCCUCAUUGAGGUACUUUGUAUGUGUGUCCAUUGACUAUACAGUGAGUCUACGACAGUUAACUCAGGUUUAGAUGUCUAAUUAGUAGUUGUCCCAACAUUAAGAAACAAGUCUAGCUCUUAUAAAUUGUAGGUACACAAUUAGUCUGAACUUUAUUCUAGUGAAAAGUGGGCUCUGAGUCAAUUUAUUCUCCAGUAGUAUUGAAGCAAAACACGCGUCCUCCAUAACAGAAGAGGGAUGCAGCCUGCACAGUCUAUGUCUGCUUGACCAUAUAACCUUGUACUGUUUUUCAGGAUAGAACGAGCAUGUGGGCAAUUGUAACAACGCACCACGAAAACUGGAAUAACUGAGAAAGGCAGCGUCGACAUCAAACAUAAAUUACUAUUAUGAUACACUAUAAAGCUGCAGCAGAGAUGUAGUGGUGGCACAGCAGAAGCUGGAGAUGUCAGGUGAAAUCCAGGCCCUCCCAACAGCCAGCUUUUCCAUGGGGCUGAAUAGCUGCAUAGGGCUGGGGGGAUGGGGUGGCUCACCACUCCCUCCAUUCUUGUCUCGAGGAACUGGAGCAUACAGACACGAAACUCGAAACUCGUCAAAUGGGCACAUUUGGCAGUGCUGUACUACUGACUCAAUUUUUCAAAGCCACAAGGGUUGGGUGCUUUUUGCUGUUGUUUAGUAAGUAUGAAGAAAGAUACAUCUCUGAUAGACUAGAAAAGUCAAACAGUUCAAAGCAAACAAGAAAGUGCUAGAAAAGAACCUUUGACCCUUUGAAUCCAAGCACUUUCAGACCUUCCAGGAAAUAUCUUAUUCUUCAGUACUUGCAAAUUUAAUUAAACAACAGCUGGUGCAUGUCGCUCAUAGUGUUAAGUCCCACGAUUCAGCUAUAUGAUCUACGGCUUCGGACAAACCCAGUAGAGCCACUGUGCAAGACUGCCUCCCGGUGGUGGUACCACGAACCUGCAGAAUGACAGAAUUUGCACACAGAAAAGGCAAAAAACCCAUUCCAAAAGAAGGCUUCCUUUUUGAAUUCAGGUCUAGGUAGAGUAAGGGAAAAAUUUCAGUGAGGUUUUAAUGGCUUGAAUUGAGGACAAACCUUUUGAUAUGUGACUGAAGCAGAGCUUCUAGUGGAAUAGCGUACUAACAAGGAAAGCUCAGAGAGACUUUCAGUACAACAUUAAAAUAAGUUAAAAAUCAGCAAGAUGUACUCAAUUGCACACUGUCCGCAGCAAUGAGCCUCCUGAAGUCUGAAACAAUACCUAUUAAGCACAAGGCAGAUGGCUGAGUGCCAUAACUUGGAUACAAAAACACUACAGCAGAUUUCCCAUUCUACCAAUUCUACGUAACCCAAAUUUUCAGUUACAAAGUUAGCACAAGUGAAAAAAAAGACAACAGAAAGCCCCAAACUGCCUUUCAAAUUGAUUGUUCUUUUAGGCAAAAGCAGGAAAAGACUCCAGCAGAUGGAUUUCCAAUUCCAAUUCUUCAAGUAAAGAGAAACACACAGUUAAAGACAGCUUUAUGUAGCUGUUCAAGAUGAUGAAAGCCAAGAGGACAGCUUGAAAUUACUGUGGGAAUAGGAGUUUAGUUGGGUCACGCUUCAGAUGACCCAGACGAAAGAUUUAGUAUAAGAAAACAGAAAUAUUGGCAGCGCAGUGCAGGGAAAGAUUUUAAAACACCCAUUUUAUGGAUUCACGUAACAACAAAUUGGCAGAGGGUACGCGCAGUGAGCGCGUCUCAGACUCGCUCAGUUCCCAGUAACUGCUCAGAAGAGGAAGCACUUUAAAUCAGCUAGCAGUCCCACACAUAGCAGAUGUGUAGUCCUCCAAAUACCUGAGGAGUGUUCAAAAACACGAGGGAGAAAAUGAGAAAUGUAACAACAUUUCUGCAGUGACUGCGGGUGAUAAAUUGUCAGGUUUGACAGGAAAGAACAGACAAAUGUAGUAAUACUGUGCUAACAAAAGGCUUCUGCAGAAGAAAGUGUCUUAACAGCAUUAUGCAGGCAUAAGCAAGAAUGUGUUUGUGGGGGGGAUAAAUACUUGAAAGCUGAACCCAAGAAAGAACAUCUUUUCUUAAAUCGGAAUGAAAUCAGGCAGGGACAAAUUAGGUCUCAGCUUCCCAAAAAGAAUGGUGGUUCAGUUUUACAUGGUGGAUUGUAACAAAGGGGUGAGCGUGAGAUGUAACCUUCUCACAUACGGACCUGUGUCAGUAACAGUAACGCCAUAAACCCAUGCACAUACUAACAUUUGCUAUGCCACCAAUUACUAAAAACCCUUCAAAAAUGUGAUACUGUAAGCAGAAGAAUAACUACUUUUGUUCAACCGAAUGUGCAGAGUAAGCAGAUGUCCUUCCCAUGAACACAACAAACAUUCCUUCAUGACAGUAUGUUGUCAUGUGAGCAACGCAUUGUGUCACACAAAGCCAGAAUCACUGUGCUGAUGUAGGAUUACACACGGCAUCAGAUUAACAUAGAAGCAUAGCAGAGAGGAGCAGAACUAUUCCAUGCUAUCCCAGAACAAAUCAUUUUGGGCUAACUGGUAUUACAUGUUAAAAGUAACAGCCAAAUACUUAAGACUAGCUUGACGCAUCUGACAUUAACUUCACACAAUGAAAGCACUCAAGGAAAACAAGUUAUUAAGAAUUCUAGAAAAAAGCAGGUGUACUUCACACUACAGUGUGUGAAUUAGAGACUUUACACAGUACUCAUCUUCUGGCAAAACACAUGGAUAACACAAGCAGGCAAAAUGACACUAGAUGAAUGCAAGAAACAAGUACCUUCCUGUCUUAUCCAAGUUGCCUUGGACAGAAAGUGUGAUGACAGUAUUUUAUUAGCAGAAAUAUUUAAGCACUGCAAGGUGCUGAAGCUAUGAAGCAGAUUAAAACCACGUUUCUUGAAUUUAAAGCAUUUGAAGGACCAGUCCUUUCCCCUUGGUAAGCUGGAAAGAGUAGGUAUCUUCACUGAAUCAUUACUGGGCUAAAGCAAGGAACUAUUCCUCCCCUGAGCUACACCUGUUUAAUUUAUAUACAAACAUACACAGCAUCCUCACCAAACAAUAGUUAGGGUGAAUUUAAAAUUAAAAACAACAAAACCAUACACAAAUAUCUCAAAUAUUUGGGAAUACCGAAUGAUUAAAGGGCGAGGGAUGCCCUGGAAGCUGAAGUUUAACCAAGUUGCCCAGCUUCCAGUGUAAGAAAAGAGCCUUAAAUUCUUUAAACCUCAGUAUUCAAAGCUCAUCUGCACUUCAAGUAUUAGAUUUCUAAAAUAAGAAACCACAGCACGUCCAGUUCUUGAACUCCCACUCUGAAAUACUGCUUCUAUGCACUCACUUUACGAUAAGCCUCUGACCUACUUUAAUCAGAGCACUCCAUCAUCUGUUACAUGCAGAUCUGAGACCGGCACAUUCUCUGACCCUCCGCACACAGUAUUCUUCAGAGCCCUCACGUCAUCAGUGCACUUCUGUUGUUUUCCUAUUAUCAACUAAAUGAAAUGGGAAAAGUCAAAUUUAGUUAAGCAUGGUUUCGUUAAAACACACAUGCAGAACUGAUAAACGUUUCUGUAUUUUUUUUAUUUCAAAUAAAGGUCAAUGACAACGUGCUCACGAGCAACAAGUCAUCUUAAUCAUCUGUCUUUAGGAGGAUUAGGAUUCUUCCGUCUUCUCUGAUACCUAGGAGAUAAAAAAAAGCUGCUGUGAAUGCAAGUUUUGGAAAAAUCUUUGAUUUUCCUGACCUUCUUCCCUCCAGAAGCAGUUUGGAGACUACACACGUAAGCAAAAUAUAAGACAACACAAGCACAGUUUAUGACCAUUCAUUAGAUGUCAUCCCCGUUGUUCAUGAAGUUACAUAACACUACUCAUUUCUGCUGCUACAUCUGCUACAAGCACACAAUAAUCCAUUCAGCUGUAGAACUGAUUAGAUACAAAGGCUGCUGUUUACUCUUAAUCCUUUGUGUGAGGUUAACUUUAUUAUACAGUCAGGGCUUCCUCUGACCAAAAUGAUUGCUGCAGAGCAAUCAGGGGUACAAGAAGGAGUUAUGUCAGACUGUACUUUAAAUAGUGUCAUACUCUACAGCCAAAUAAUUAAAAAAAAAAAAAAGUCUUCACAACAAAGAAAGAUAAAUUGUGUCCCUGCUGUCUUAAUUAGCCACCCUUAAGCAAGGCAGAUACAGUACGAUACUCAUUAAGUGACAACUAUCCUCUGGCCAUAGGGAGCUCCACUAUUUCAUUUUCUUCGCUUGUUCUCAAAACAUAAUCAUUAAAAAGGUUUGCUGUGUAUCAAGUUUCCAGAGCUAUAAAAUUAGCAACUACCAUAACAUGUGAAAACUGUUAUGGUAGACUGGAGAAGAGUUGCAUAAACUACACUGCUAUUUGUUUCCAGUGGUGUACCUGAACACAGAGUCUCUCUUUAAGCUCAGUCACAUACGUUUGUAUCUCUUCUCCUUGUAGCAUUCUGAAGUACACCAAGGUACACUUUUCAUCAUUUCAAAUGAAUAACUUCUACUUUUUCUUAAGUCUGAGAAUUAUAUGGUUUCAAGCUGUAUUUGGCUACGUCCAUUGAGAGGGUGAUCUCACUUAUGCAGUUUUAGGAAAUCACCUGGACCAGCAGCUAAGGACACAGCAGGAGGAAUUUCUCCUCCAUGGUAUUUUACCAGCCAAGUUGCAAAGGCAAUGGAAGGGGCACAAUUUAAAAAAAUAAAUAAUACACAGUCUUCCAUUUACACGACACUGCAUUUAAAACUGUCUGUAGUAGCCCACGUGCCAGGAGUAUUUCAGAGGAUGAGUUUGGAUAAAUUACAAUCAUUCUUGUGUUUCUCUCUAUGCCCAAAAGGAAUAAACAUUGAAAAAAAAAAAAAAAGAAAACUUACUGUCCCAUAGGGUACCAUCGAUGUUUUGUAGUGUAAAACAUUUUGCUGAGCUCUUCAAUUGUAAGACCUCUAUCAUUCUUCAGCUUUUCUUCAUUCAAUCUGGAUUUCAAAACUUGAUCAAGAGUUUCCUCUUUGUUAUUCACUGGAUCUGGUCGUGGCACGGGCUAUGAAAAACAGCAACGUAAGUAUUUUCUUUCCUCCUCUUUGAGGAAAAACAAAAAGUCAAACUGCAUUGAUAACAUUACUGUUUACUCUUCAAAGCUGAGAAGAAAAGAACUAAAAAGAGAAAGCAUCAUAAAAGGCUCCCUCCCUUCUCAAUCAAAACCACAUCACUGUGGGGAGGACUUCUAGAAGCACCCCAUUACCCCGGCUGCUACAGCUGAUGACUGUGUCCCACUGUCAUUACUACUGCUGAGCUCUCACCCUUACAAUUCACUAAGCUGAAUCAUAAGCAUCAAUUUACUAACACAAAAUACUCCUAUUAUUGCUAUGUAUACAUUUAUUCAUACUGAUGAUCACCAUUUAAUCGUAUUAAGUUUUUGUUUAAGUUUUUAUUGAUUUUUUUUUCCUGUGUGGUUUAUGAGUUGAAUGGAAAUUAAACCCUGAGUUUAAAAUAAGAGCACCUCUUCAUGUCCCCCAUAUACUGCUACAUCUGAACACAGGAGGAUGUAUGAGUUAUCACCUGGACUUCAAACAUCUCUGAGGAGCAUGCUCUUAGACAACCACUAGUUUUCUCUGUAGUGCACAACCAUUUCAGUACCUCAUUUAAUUCACUUCGAGUAAUGCUGUAAUAACCUGAGCAUUUAUUUGCCUGCAGCUUUCUCUCACUUCAGCUAAAAGUCCUCCAUACAGCAGCAGCUAUAUUCAUCACUCACCUCACAGAUGUGCUGCUCAUGUAAGGAACUGUACCUCUGUAUUUCAAAUGGCAAGGAAAAACCAACAGUUGUCCUAAAGGCUCAGAACUACUUAUGCUUUUACACGACUAAGCAGAGCGUACAGUUGGACGUACUUUUGUGUGCUCGUAUGGAAUCUCAAGUGAAGGGUGGUAGCAGACAAUUGUCUUCGAAUCUGAUGUCAAGGCAAGUUCCACUUUGCUAUGAAAAUAAAAAGGGACAUUCUUACAAUCCCUUACAAUUUUCAGUAAUGCUCAGUGACUGAGCAGCCCAAUUCCCAAAGAAAACUUGAUUUCACCCUCUAUUUAUGAAUUCUUCAGAAAUCUAUAAAAUAAAACCUGAAAAAAUAAGGCUCACAAGUACUUGAUCUGAACUUCUUUCUUCUUCCCAGCUAUCUCGUGUUUCUUUCUUUCUUUUUUUAUGGAAGAGAACAAAGGGUUAAAAUGGAGAUCUACAGACAGCUGGAAAUACGGUUUGAAAAAGUCUUUAAGACACCGAGGAAUGACAUUAAAAGUAACAGCAGAUCAUGCACGUCAGCGAUAUGUAGGACAACGUGACCGUAUAAGAAGUGUGGCACCAAUAAGAGAAAGAAUAGGAAAUAAAGCCCCAGGGUUCCAACCUUUAUAUUUAACAAAUGCUGUUAAGCAUAAUAAACAAGAGGUUCUAUUGACAAGUUCCUUGAGGGAGUACGGCUUUUCUCACCUUAUUUCCCUACUAACUGCUGUGACACAUUAGCUUCCAAAAUACUUCUGCAGUGCAGAUGUUGCAUUUCUCAUUAUGCUUUUAUCAUCUUUUCCAGUUUCCACUGAAGUUUGCCACGCAGCAGCACAACAUUACCAGGGCUUUGUCUUAACAAUAAGCAUCGGUGAAAAUGAGUGCUCUUUCUUUUGCUCUUCCACAGUUAAAGAUGCAGUGGUACUGGGGUCAUCAUCAUGUUUAGAAUGAGUCAUGCAUGAUUUUUUAUUAUGCUCAUUUUUGAAACGUUAGCUUCACAAUCAUUAUGACUGGAAACAGUACUUCACUUUAAAUUAUUAUACACCUAUAUCCAAAAGUGGAAGAGAGUGUGUUUGAUACCAUCAGAUGACAACUUGAUGGCAGAGCCAGUAACCUGCAAUAUACAUCGCAUGAGAAGGCCACGCAAAGCACGUUAACAUACCAGUUGUAGUCUUCAGGGAGCACCGAGUAUGUUGAUUUAUGACAAGCAUGACAUACAGCUCCAAUUCGUAGCGGGACUCGCUUAUAGGCAGCUACUGAACGCAUCCAGAGACAGCUGGGCCACACAGCCCUAAGUGACGUUGCCAUGCUGAUAGCAGAUAGAAAACCAGUCCUGGACAAGAUGGAAGCGAAACAGACACGGUAUCUUUUUGGUUCCAGAACACCCUCUGAAAGAGACCAGUUUCAUAAUUGUUUGGGUACGGAGAUAGACAAAUUA
RNAcentral lists this long non-coding RNA (10992 nucleotides) under Gallus gallus (chicken). The record is from RNAcentral. Lineage: Eukaryota; Metazoa; Chordata; Aves; Galliformes; Phasianidae.